RNAcentral lists this small RNA (124 nucleotides) under Pseudorhizobium pelagicum. Its description in RNAcentral is "Alphaproteobacterial sRNA ar35". It matches the Rfam family "Alphaproteobacterial sRNA ar35". The record is from Rfam by way of RNAcentral. Lineage: Bacteria; Pseudomonadati; Pseudomonadota; Alphaproteobacteria; Hyphomicrobiales; Rhizobiaceae.
AUGGGCACAUUGCCUGAAGCGGACGCGCCGGAAAUGCCUGUCUCGAUUCCUGGGUGACCACGGAUGUACUGGCACAAUCAGAAUCGAGAGUAGAAAAGGUCGGGCUUGCCCGGCCUUUUUGUAU